Molecule: ribosomal RNA, 459 nt
Filed under: uncultured bacterium
Lineage: Bacteria
Description: partial 16S ribosomal RNA
Rfam family: Bacterial small subunit ribosomal RNA
Source: RNAcentral
CCUACGGGACGCAGCAGUGAGGAAUAUUGGUCAAUGGGAGAGAUCCUGAACCAGCCAAGCCGCGUGAGGGAAGACGGCCCUAUGGGUUGUAAACCUCUUUUGUCGGAGAACAAAACCCGGGACGUGUCCCGGACUGCGUGUAUCCGAAGAAAAAGCAUCGGCUAACUCCGUGCCAGCAGCCGCGGUAAUACGGAGGAUGCGAGCGUUAUCCGGAUUUAUUGGGUUUAAAGGGUGCGCAGGCGGUCCGGUAAGUCAGCGGUAAAAGUGCGGUGCUCAACCCCGUCGAGCCGUUGAAACUGGCAGACUUGAGUUGGCGAGAAGUACGCGGAAUGCGCGGUGUAGCGGUGAAAUGCAUAGAUAUCGCGCAGAACUCCGAUUGCGAAGGCAGCGUACCGGCGCCAGACUGACGCUGAGGCACGAAAGCGUGGGGAUCGAACAGGAUUAGAUACCCGUGUAGUC